Long non-coding RNA from Salvia miltiorrhiza (redroot sage), 951 nucleotides. RefSeq lists it as uncharacterized. The transcript is spliced from 2 exons. Lineage: Eukaryota; Viridiplantae; Streptophyta; Magnoliopsida; Lamiales; Lamiaceae. The record is from RefSeq and is a predicted model, not a curated record.
GGGCCCAAACACUUAUUAAAAUCGGCCCAAGUCUCGGCCCAAACAAUUAAUAAAAUCGGCCCAAACAAUUUAAUUAAAUUGGCCCAAGAGUUUAAUUAAAUCGGCCCAAGAAUUUAAUUAAAUCGGCCCAAACAAUUAAAAAAAAUCGGCCCAUACCCGGCCCAAAUCCUAACCUAAAUAUACACACACACUAAAUACACUCAAACACACACAUAACACAAGCUGCGCCCCAUCUCUCCUUUCUCACUCUCUCUCUCGCCUUUCCCUCUCUGUUCGGCUGAGGGCGGCGCCGCCUCCGGCGCGCCGCCUCGCCGUCGCCUCCUCCCCUCCUCUCCUUCGGCCACCGCGACCAGCCACCAGGUGUCGCCACCCUCGACUCCCUCGCUCCCUCGGCCGCUGGAACCAGGCGCAGCAGCGCGACCACGCCGCCGCUGUCAUCUCCUCCGCCUCUCCUCCACGGCAGAUCCGCCGCCGCCGUUCAACGCCACGGCCACCCCUUGUUCUCCCUCUCUCUCUGUCCCUAACUCUCAACUUCAUCUCGAUCUCUCUCUCUAACCUCACUGCCACACACGCCGGCAGACACGGCGUAAGCCGCGCCGCCGCGUCGCCCUCCCUCUCGCUGGCUGCACAGGCCCACGGCCGUGGAGGAGCCGCCGUCGCCGGAGACAGCCCAGAUCGGAACCACGGCAGGUUCACCGCCGCCGCUCCGUCGCCGGCGACGAGCCACCGCGGCUGCCGCCUCCCUCUGAUCUCGACUCACACACACACAGUAGAGUCAGCCCCCCCCUUCAAAGGUUUCAAGCCUCAAAUUCAGUCGAACACUUAGUACAUAGGAUUUGAGCAAAAAUCAAAUACUGUAAUUGCUUAAUGAAAUCUGAAAUUCUUUUCUUGAAACUGAACUAGUCUGUAAAUUUCAGUUCAUAUGUGCAUAUGUAAACAUGUUGUGAAAUA